UACGGAGGGUCCAAGCGUUAUCCGGAUUUAUUGGGUUUAAAGGGUGCGUAGGCGGAUUGAUAAGUUAGAGGUGAAAUGUCCGAGCUCAACUCGGGAACUGCCUCUAAUACUGUUGAUCUAGAGAGUAGAUGCGGUAGGCGGAAUGUAUGGUGUAGCGGUGAAAUGCUUAGAGAUCAUACAGAACACCGAUUGCGAAGGCAGCUUACCAAUCUAUAUCUGACGUUGAGGCACGAAAGCGUGGGGAGCAAACAGG
RNAcentral lists this ribosomal RNA (253 nucleotides) under uncultured bacterium. RNAcentral's name for it is "partial 16S ribosomal RNA". It matches the Rfam family "Bacterial small subunit ribosomal RNA", at positions 524 to 776 of the family's 1533-position model. The record is from RNAcentral.